UUUCUCCCUGCCACACACACACACACACACACACACACACACACACACACACACACACACACACACACACACACACACACACACACACACACACACACACACACACACACACACACACACACACACACACACACAGGCUCGGACGACACUGCUUUUGAGUCCUGGCCUGGGUCAGGGCCUGGUUAAAAUCAAUUUUGAUCAAUUAUUAAGAGUGCUGGUAUCUUUGUGAGGCUAAAAAGGCAGCUGGUGGAUGCAGUGUGCUCUGCUCGCUGAUAAAGUCCACUUUUUAUUUACUUUAUUACUGCUUCCUUGGACAACUCUCAACCCCGGAGAAAUCUUCAAACUGCAACCCAGAGUUACUCUUCUUAGAAGCAUGGGACAUCACUAAAUUUGAUGUGUGCAUGUGUUCCUUGGCCUUUGGAAUAACCUCAUUGGAGUUUGGAGGAGUUGCAGACAGAGAGAAAGGCGAGGGAAGAGUGAGGGGGAAGAAAGGGAACGAGAGAAAGAGGGGAAGGUAGUGAGAAACACUGGGUGAGUGACAGGAAGGGAGAGUGAGUGAAGUCCAGAGUGAGAAUGUGAUUGGUAGAGGAAAGGGGGAGGGCUGGAGAUGAGGGAAGAGUGUGUGGGUUUGGUUGAACAAGAGAACUGUAAGUAUCAAGGGUUAAACAGGGGGGAAAACAGUAACUAGCCAAUGGCAAUUGUUGAGAAAUUAGACCUGCCCAUGCAGACCUCAGAUCAGAAGGGAAACAAUUAUAUUUGGUUGCCUUUUUUCAUCCAGUAUUCAUGGCAAAGCUAAACGUUACCCCAAGUAACCAAUUCAUCCUGAAAUGACCUGUGUGGGUGAACCAAAUCUCAGAGAGUGAGAGUGUGUGUGGAUGCGGAUGCGUCAGUGCAUCAUGAUUGAGAUGUGAGGUUCACUGCACUUCUGCACAAUCUCCUUUUAGGACAAGACUUGUGGUCAUACUGACCCAGGUGUGUGCCGAUAACCAAUCAAUGGCCUGGACUUAAGAGUGAUCACAGAGGACGAGAGUGACACGCACACACACACUCCUUGGUCGAUGGGCCCCUGGGCUGACCUGAAAGGCGUCACAUCUGAA
RNAcentral lists this long non-coding RNA (1097 nucleotides) under Oncorhynchus kisutch (coho salmon). RNAcentral describes it as "lncRNA (ENSOKIG00005043042.1)". Lineage: Eukaryota; Metazoa; Chordata; Actinopteri; Salmoniformes; Salmonidae. The record is from RNAcentral.